Panicum hallii is the source of this 2570-nucleotide long non-coding RNA. RefSeq lists it as uncharacterized. Lineage: Eukaryota; Viridiplantae; Streptophyta; Magnoliopsida; Poales; Poaceae. The record is from RefSeq and is a predicted model, not a curated record. The transcript has 4 exons.
UUCUCGGCCAGGUUCCGGAUCCCGAAGCCCCUGCGCGGGCUCGCCGCCACCGCCGCAUCGCCGGCCGGACGGUGGUCGGCCUGUCCCCCCAGCCGCUUGCCCGCUUCCCUCUCCUCUUCCAGCUUCCUCUAUCCGCCGGCCUCCUCUUUCCUGGCAUGGGUGGCGACGGCGGACGGUUGCCACAGGCACUUGUGAUGUGUGUCGGCGCCUUCGCUGUUCGUUUUCGCGGCGGCGCGGGCGGGACACCAUGGCUGUGCGCCUGCGGUGGCCUGGGGCUCUGGCUGGGUGCCGCCGGGCAGAAUGGCUUGGCUUUUGACGGCUGCGGCAGGAGAGGUUGCGGAGACCGGCGGCAGCAGCACUACUGUAUUUCUGAGAGCUGCGUGUCUUUGUAUUAAUAGGGAGAAAAGGCGGUCAAGUACACGCCGAAUCCACGGCUUGGGUACUUUGAGUUACAGAAUAGUGUACGGUAAAUCAUCUCAUAUAGGAGUAUCUUUAUCAAGGGGGUGCAUGAGCUAACUACCACGUUCUUAUGUGGUGGUCGACCUCAUUUUUGCCCUUGUUACCCGGCUCAUUAUGAUUGGUACUUGGUAGCAUUACAUAGAUGUGCCUUCAUUUACAGUACCUAUGGAUUAUUGUCUGUGCUAGUGUGCUUCGGUUUCGUGGAUCUAAUAUGUGACUGUGCUUGUGUAGUUAUUUCUUCUUAAGUUAAGAUGAGACACGACUCAUUGACAGUGGAUCCGUCUGGAAGAGAGGUGAGAGUGACCAUACAUUUAAUCUGAAAGAGGGAUAAAACAGCAGCAGGAACUGGUUGGUUACUGUUAUUAGGUAUUUUUCCCUUUUAUUUGGCAGGUAUGUCUUGUUUUAUAGUUGGUACCAGUAGCAUUAUAUUGUAGCUAGCAGUGGCGGCAUGUUUACAUAGUGAGUGAAAAUUCUUAGAGAUGUUAAAUGGUUUAUAUAGUUUCAGAGAAAUUUGGGAGGAGAUUGGAAAUCGGACAGGUGUCAGCCUUGUUAAUUAUUUUGUGCCACUGCUGCUAGUUUGUUUCUGUCUUUAGAUCGUACUACGGUUAACAGGGAGAGAGGAGAGAGAGCAUAAGUUAGCAUCAUGUGGGAAACUUGAGAGGAACUAACUUCCAUUUGUUCUCAAUGGAGCUUCAGAAAUCACACAGAACAUGUAAAUAUGCAUGUAAGGUAGGUGGAUAUAGCCCAAUUAAUGAUACACAUAUAUGUUGAUGUACAUUAACUUGAAUUGUACAGGUCAUACACAAAGCUGGUACUCAUGAAACAUUGUAGAAACUUCAAAAUGCUAGGGUGGUAAUUACUGCAGAUGGUACAGUAGAGCAAACAACUGAAAAUAGACUUCUCUCCUUGUGUGUCGUAGUUGAGCUGUGCAAGCGUUACCAAGAAAAUGAGGAAGCAAUAUCAGUGUUAGUAGUACUGGUGUCAGUUAAUAAAUUAGCAAACAUAACAGAACACCCAGAAAGUCCUCCAUUUCACAUUUUCCGUCUUAGACUGAGAAGCUAGAUGCAAACUGAAGUCUUCAUACCUGUACUGACCACUGCAUUUCAGAGAUGUGCAUGUUGUGUCUCUGAACUUGUAUGGAGAUCAAGUGAGUCAAAAUCAAAACCAUACAUCACAGGUUUCUCUUUUUGGUGGUAUCUUGAUUCACCUGCAAAUCAAAGAUGCACAGCUUCCCUGCGCAUUCCUUUAAAAGAAACAGGGUCUGAACAACGAGGUAAAGGCCUGGCAUGAAGGAUAAGAGCUGUCCAGGCUAGCCAAGGAGACUGCCUAUGACAUCAGUCACCUGCCUGCUUAACAGUACGCAAGCAGGCGAGCAAGCAACGCCUCAGGCAAGUCAUCCUUGGCUAUCAGGACCAGACACUUAUCACCAUGCAAGGCCUCACCUCGUCCUCUAUAGGCACUUGGUUGGCUUGUGUACUGCCAUGAAUACAACAUGGCACUGCAUGCCUAUUUAUAGUCUGAUACUCUGAUGCCAUCAGUGAAGGGCAUGUUUCGCUUCCUCUCCUCCUUUUUGCCUGAUCAGAAAUAUGCAUGCAAACAGGACAUGUUCCUUUAAAUGGUUGGGGGUCCCUCAUGGCCCGUCUUUUUUGGUGACAUUUGUUUCUGCAAAGCUGCCUUGGAAUAUUUCCAAUUGGCAGCAACGAUGAUGACCUAUACACACAUAGGUUGACCUUGGCUACAUAACACAGUUAUACGGAUGCAGACAUCACAUGUGGUUAGGUAACUGACCUGAAAUCAAGUAAAUACAGAGAGAAUCUGAUGACCAGCGAAUGAUAUCAGAUUAGCAUUUGUCCUGCGACCAAAUAUAUGCCUUUGAUAGAUUUGGCAAUGGGAAUAGUUCCUGCCUAUCUUCCACGUCAAAAAGGUGUCAGUGCUGACCUUCAAUCCCAAGGGUGUAUAUCUCUCCUAAAACUCACCGAUGACGCUCACGGCCACAGGUCACAGCCUAGGGCCUCCACACUCCACACCAAGAACAAUGCGCGGUGCAGAACCAGAAUGGUGAUGCAGACAAAAGAUGUCAUGAAGAAGAUGAGACCAGCAGCAUUUUUCUA